RNAcentral lists this ribosomal RNA (425 nucleotides) under uncultured bacterium. RNAcentral describes it as "bacterial SSU rRNA". It matches the Rfam family "Bacterial small subunit ribosomal RNA", at positions 354 to 796 of the family's 1533-position model. The record is from RNAcentral.
GUGGGGAAUCUUGCGCAAUGGGCGAAAGCCUGACGCAGCCAUGCCGCGUGAAUGAUGAAGGUCUUAGGAUUGUAAAAUUCUUUCACCGGGGACGAUAAUGACGGUACCCGGAGAAGAAGCUCCGGCUAACUUCGUGCCAGCAGCCGCGGUAAUACGAAGGGGGCUAGCGUUGCUCGGAAUUACUGGGCGUAAAGGGCGCGUAGGCGGACAGCUUAGUCAGAGGUGAAAGCCCAGGGGUCAACCUUGGAAUUGCCUUUGAUACUGGCUGUCUUGAGUUUGGGAGAGGUGAGUGGAACUCCGAGUGUAGAGGUGAAAUUCGUAGAUAUUCGGAAGAACACCAGUGGCGAAGGCGACUCACUGGCCCAAUACUGACGCUGAGGCGCGAAAGCGUGGGGAGCAAACAGGAUUAGAAACCCGGGUAGUCC